This is a small nucleolar RNA of Mastomys coucha (southern multimammate mouse), 136 nucleotides long. RefSeq annotates it as small nucleolar RNA SNORA17. Lineage: Eukaryota; Metazoa; Chordata; Mammalia; Rodentia; Muridae. The transcript has a single exon. The record is from RefSeq and is a predicted model, not a curated record.
CCUACCCCUAGAAGUGUUACAGGUAUGGUUGCUGUGUUACAUGUGCAUUAGUAGGUGGCACAGAGGAGAGAGGCUAAGUCUACACUCGGGGUUCUGAUCUGUGAACAUCUGAAUGAUUAAUUAGUAGUCUAACAUU